AUUCAGUGAAUCAUCGAAUCUUUGAACGCACCUUGCACCUUUUGGUUAUUCCAAAAGGUACGCCUGUUUGAGUGUCAU
RNAcentral lists this ribosomal RNA (78 nucleotides) under Coleosporium plumeriae. RNAcentral describes it as "partial 5.8S ribosomal RNA". It matches the Rfam family "5.8S ribosomal RNA", at positions 79 to 154 of the family's 154-position model. From Rfam's summary of the family: 5.8S ribosomal RNA (5.8S rRNA) is a component of the large subunit of the eukaryotic ribosome. It is transcribed by RNA polymerase I as part of the 45S precursor that also contains 18S and 28S rRNA. Lineage: Eukaryota; Fungi; Basidiomycota; Pucciniomycetes; Pucciniales; Coleosporiaceae. The record is from RNAcentral.